Molecule: ribosomal RNA, 440 nt
Filed under: uncultured bacterium
Lineage: Bacteria
Description: partial 16S ribosomal RNA
Rfam family: Bacterial small subunit ribosomal RNA
Source: RNAcentral
CCUACGAGUGGCAGCAGUGGGGGAUAUUGCACAAUGGGGGAAACCCUGAUGCAGCGACGCCGCGUGAGUGAAGAAGUAUUUCGGUAUGUAACGCUCUAUCAGCAGGGAAGAAAAUGACAGUACCUGACCAAGAAGCCCCGGCUAACUACGUGCCAGAAGCCGCGGUAAUACGUAGGGGGCAAGCGUUAUCCGGAUUUACUGGGUGUGAAGGGAGCGUAGAAGGUUAUGGAAGUCUGGAGUGAAAGCCCGGGGCCCAACCCCGGGACCGCUUUGGAAACUGUGUAACGUGAGUACAGGAGGGGCAGGCGGAAUUCCUGGUGUAGCGGUGAAAUGCGUAGAUAUCAGGAGGAACACCGGCGGCGAAGGCGGCCUGCUGGACUGAAACUGACGUUGAGGCUCGAAAGCGUGGGGAGCAAACAGGAUUAGAUACCCUUGUAGUC